AGGACGAACGCUGGCGGCGUGCUUAACACAUGCAAGUCGAGCGGUAAGGCCUCUUCGGGGGUACACGAGCGGCGAACGGGUGAGUAACACGUGAGUAAUCUGCCCUUCACUUCGGGAUAAGCUUCGGAAACGGGGUCUAAUACCGGAUACGACACUUUCAGGCAUCUGAUGAGUGUGGAAAGUUUUUUCGGUGGGGGAUGUGCUCGCGGCCUAUCAGCUUGUUGGUGGGGUAAUGGCCUACCAAGGCUUCGACGGGUAGCCGGCCUGAGAGGGUGACCGGCCACACUGGGACUGAGACACGGCCAAGACUUCUACCGGAGGCAGCAGUGGGGAAUAUUGGACAAUGGGCGGAAGCCUGAUCCAGCAACGCCGCGUGAGGGAUGACGGCUUCGGUUGUAAACCUCUUUCAGUA
Molecule: ribosomal RNA, 412 nt
Filed under: uncultured Nocardioides sp.
Lineage: Bacteria; Bacillati; Actinomycetota; Actinomycetes; Propionibacteriales; Nocardioidaceae
Description: bacterial SSU rRNA
Rfam family: Bacterial small subunit ribosomal RNA
Source: RNAcentral